Malus domestica (apple) is the source of this 1579-nucleotide non-coding RNA. NCBI's taxonomy places the organism in Eukaryota, Viridiplantae, Streptophyta, Magnoliopsida, Rosales, Rosaceae. The record is from RefSeq and is a predicted model, not a curated record.
UUUUAUCUCUAAUCUCUAAUCUCUAAUCUCUAAUAUUAGAAAGCCAAAAGACAACUUUGGUGUCUCAAUGCUUCACCAAAAAUAAUUGGACUAAAAUAACCGUCAAACAAAAAAAUUCUAAAACUGAAUGAAAAUAAUGCAAUCAAAAUAGCAGGGGUAUUUUUGUCAAAAAAACAUAAAUUUAUAAUUCAUUUUAUUGAAAAAAAAUCAACAUUAAAAAAAAAGAAAAAAGAAUGUGGUAAACCCUCAAAUAGAAGACGAAAGAUAAACUGCCAAAGCUAGAGAUAGAAGUAGUUUUCUCCAACGAUUCCACAUUCUGCAGGGGCAUUUGAAAGCCGCUGUACGUUUCCACAAAUUUCUCCAAUUUCAUUUUCAUAUCCCUUUUUAAUCAAAUUUCCUCGGUUUACCAAAAUCUCAUUGUCUCUCAAGAUUAUGUUUUGAACUUCUAUAAACAAAAAGGUAAACCAUCGUCUCUGAAUUGUAUGCAUGUCAGCCUUGCAAAAGAUCAAUUGCUCAAAUUUCAUUUUGUUUCUAAUUAAUUUUGAAUGGGUGAUAAGCUUCUUGCUCAAGUCUUCAGUGUUGGUCCUCUUGCAGGAUGCAAGCUCAUCUGAAAGGACAAGGUACAUCACAUGAUUCAGGCUCUUCUGAAUCAUUGUAUGUUGCCUGUUGGCAUGCUUCCUUUGUUUCAGAUGGGAGUCGACUCAAUUAGUAAGCCAUUUGUUUCGAUCUUUUGUCUCUAUGAUUUGCCCUCACAAAUUUACAUUAUUCUCCCAAUAGGUAAGACUAGAACUAUUACUCCUUGCAUACUAUAGAACUAACCUGACAUUUUUUAGUGUUCAAUAUUAUUUGUUUAGGGAGCAUAUUGUUGACAAAUCGUAUUUAUGAGGAAGGUGUGUUCAUUGAAUUUGUAGUUUUUAGAGAGCAUAUGUCUGGGAUGGAGGAAGAAAUUAGGAAGAGACUGACUAAUUGUAAGGAUGGUUGAAGGGCUUAAACUGAGAUUUUCUACAUGAGUCCAGAGGAAUUCUAAAAGACCAAGAACAAGCUCUUCUCCAUUUGGAGAGCAUUCAACUUGAAGGAAAAGAUUUACUUAUUCUGCUGUGAAAUAGUAAGAUGAGGUUUACCGUGUGUUUGAGUGUUCCAUUGUGAUGAUAAAAUUUCUUUUGUGAAGAUAACUGAGUUUUAUUCCUCUUUUCUUUCCAUAAUUUCAAUUGGUCCUAUAUUUUAUGAUACUUUUUUUCUUUUUCUCCUUACUGUUAAAUGUUGCUUGACCUCUAUAUUGAGACUAAUUUUCAUGAUUUUUUAUUCCUCUUAGUGAAACAUAUAUCGAACCAACAAGGUUGUGAUGAUGGGAAUAAUUGUUCUAAGAGAGUUGGACAUCAAUUAGCCAAGAUUUUGUGGAACUAUAUAUGGGGUUUUGCUUGCAAAUAGUUGAAAAACGAUCACGCACUAGCUUUUUGGGGUACAGACUAUAGGACGGAACAAUAUGAGUUCAUGAUAUGUUUUGUUGUCAAGUGUAUCAAGGUCAAUUGAAGUUCUUGAAUUGUUUUUACACUUUUUAUAUAUCUUUUAGUUGCAACUA